RNAcentral lists this ribosomal RNA (1659 nucleotides) under Salmonella enterica subsp. enterica serovar Hadar. RNAcentral's name for it is "partial 23S ribosomal RNA". It matches the Rfam family "Bacterial large subunit ribosomal RNA", at positions 1 to 1693 of the family's 2925-position model. Lineage: Bacteria; Pseudomonadati; Pseudomonadota; Gammaproteobacteria; Enterobacterales; Enterobacteriaceae. The record is from RNAcentral.
GGGUUGUGAGGUUAAGCGACUAAGCGUACACGGUGGAUGCCCUGGCAGUCAGAGGCGAUGAAGGGCGUGCUAAUCUGCGAUAAGCGCCGGUAAGGUGAUAUGAACCGUUAUAACCGGCGAUACCCGAAUGGGGAAACCCAGUGUGAUUCGUCACACUAUCAUUAACUGAAUCCAUAGGUUAAUGAGGCGAACCGGGGGAACUGAAACAUCUAAGUACCCCGAGGAAAAGAAAUCAACCGAGAUUCCCCCAGUAGCGGCGAGCGAACGGGGAGGAGCCCAGAGCCUGAAUCAGCAUGUGUGUUAGUGGAAGCGUCUGGAAAGGCGCGCGAUACAGGGUGACAGCCCCGUACACAAAAGCGCAUGUGCUGUGAGCUCGAUGAGUAGGGCGGGACACGUGGUAUCCUGUCUGAAUAUGGGGGGACCAUCCUCCAAGGCUAAAUACUCCUGACUGACCGAUAGUGAACCAGUACCGUGAGGGAAAGGCGAAAAGAACCCCGGCGAGGGGAGUGAAAAAGAACCUGAAACCGUGUACGUACAAGCAGUGGGAGCACCCUUUGGGGUGUGACUGCGUACCUUUUGUAUAAUGGGUCAGCGACUUAUAUUCUGUAGCAAGGUUAACCGUAUAGGGGAGCCGGAGGGAAACCGAGUCUUAAUUGGGCGUUAAGUUGCAGGGUAUAGACCCGAAACCCGGUGAUCUAGCCAUGGGCAGGUUGAAGGUUGGGUAACACUAACUGGAGGACCGAACCGACUAAUGUUGAAAAAUUAGCGGAUGACCUGUGGCUGGGGGUGAAAGGCCAAUCAAACCGGGAGAUAGCUGGUUCUCCCCGAAAGCUAUUUAGGUAGCGCCUCGUGAAUUCAUCUCCGGGGGUAGAGCACUGUUUCGGCUAGGGGGCCAUCCCGGCUUACCAACCCGAUGCAAACUGCGAAUACCGGAGAAUGUUAUCACGGGAGACACACGGCGGGUGCUAACGUCCGUCGUGAAGAGGGAAACAACCCAGACCGCCAGCUAAGGUCCCAAAGUCAUGGUUAAGUGGGAAACGAUGUGGGAAGGCCCAGACAGCCAGGAUGUUGGCUUAGAAGCAGCCAUCAUUUAAAGAAAGCGUAAUAGCUCACUGGUCGAGUCGGCCUGCGCGGAAGAUGUAACGGGGCUAAACCAUGCACCGAAGCUGCGGCAGCGACGCUUAUGCGUUGUUGGGUAGGGGAGCGUUCUGUAAGCCUGUGAAGGUGGCCUGUGAGGGUUGCUGGAGGUAUCAGAAGUGCGAAUGCUGACAUAAGUAACGAUAAAGCGGGUGAAAAGCCCGCUCGCCGGAAGACCAAGGGUUCCUGUCCAACGUUAAUCGGGGCAGGGUGAGUCGACCCCUAAGGCGAGGCCGAAAGGCGUAGUCGAUGGGAAACGGGUUAAUAUUCCCGUACUUGGUGUUACUGCGAAGGGGGGACGGAGAAGGCUAUGUUGGCCGGGCGACGGUUGUCCCGGUUUAAGCGUGUAGGCUGGUUUUCCAGGCAAAUCCGGAAAAUCAAGGCUGAGGCGUGACGACGAGGCACUACGGUGCUGAAGCAACAAAUGCCCUGCUUCCAGGAAAAGCCUCUAAGCAUCAGGUAACAUCAAAUCGUACCCCAAACCGACACAGGUGGUCAGGUAGAGAAUACCAAGGCGCUUGA